This 497-nucleotide ribosomal RNA is filed under the name uncultured bacterium. RNAcentral describes it as "partial 16S ribosomal RNA". It matches the Rfam family "Bacterial small subunit ribosomal RNA", at positions 28 to 507 of the family's 1533-position model. The record is from RNAcentral.
GAUGAACGCUGGCGGCGUGCCUAAUACAUGCAAGUCGAGCGAACAGACGAGGAGCUUGCUCCUCUGACGUUAGCGGCGGACGGGUGAGUAACACGUGGAUAACCUACCUAUAAGACUGGGAUAACUUCGGGAAACCGGAGCUAAUACCGGAUAAUAUAUUGAACCGCAUGGUUCAAUAGUGAAAGACGGUUUUGCUGUCACUUAUAGAUGGAUCCGCGCCGCAUUAGCUAGUUGGUAAGGUAACGGCUUACCAAGGCAACGAUGCGUAGCCGACCUGAGAGGGUGAUAGGCCACACUGGAACUGAGACACGGUCCAGAGUCCUACGGGAGGCAGCAGUAGGGAAUCUUCCGCAAUGGGCGAAAGCCUGACGGAGCAACGCCGCGUGAGUGAUGAAGGUCUUCGGAUCGUAAAACUCUGUUAUGAGGGAAGAACAAAUGUGUAAGUAACUAUGCACGUCUUGACGGUACCUAAUCAGAAAGCCACGGCUAACUACGUG